This 550-nucleotide ribosomal RNA is filed under the name uncultured Gallionellaceae bacterium. RNAcentral describes it as "bacterial SSU rRNA". It matches the Rfam family "Bacterial small subunit ribosomal RNA", at positions 355 to 896 of the family's 1533-position model. The record is from RNAcentral. Lineage: Bacteria; Pseudomonadati; Pseudomonadota; Betaproteobacteria; Nitrosomonadales; Gallionellaceae.
UGGGGAAUUUUGGACAAUGGGCGCAAGCCUGAUCCAGCCAUGCCGCGUGAGUGAAGAAGGCCUUCGGGUUGUAAAGCUCUUUCAGCUGGAAAGAAAUCGUAUCUAUUAAUACUAGGUGCGGAUGACGGUACCAGCAGAAGAAGCACCGGCUAACUACGUGCCAGCAGCCGCGGUAAUACGUAGGGUGCGAGCGUUAAUCGGAAUUACUGGGCGUAAAGCGUGCGCAGGCGGCUUUUUAAGCCAGAUGUGAAAUCCCCGGGCUCAACCUGGGAACUGCAUUUGGAACUGGAAGGCUAGAGUGUAGCAGAGGGGGGUAGAAUUCCACGUGUAGCAGUGAAAUGCGUAGAGAUGUGGAGGAAUACCGAUGGCGAAGGCAGCCCCCUGGGCUAACACUGACGCUCAUGCACGAAAGCGUGGGGAGCAAACAGGAUUAGAUACCCUGGUAGUCCACGCCCUAAACGAUGUCAACUAGGUGUUGGGGAAGGAGACUUCUUUAGUACCGCAGCUAACGCGUGAAGUUGACCGCCUGGGGAGUACGGUCGCAAGAUUA